GUAAUUCCAGAUCCAAUAGCGUAUACUAAUGCUGUUGCUGUUAAAAAGCUCGUAGUUCGAUAAGGAUUGAUUCUGGUUCAGAUACAGUGCUUCGUAUUCGUACAGGUAUUCGUUGAGAUCCGCUUGGAAUUGAUUCUGCAAUGAGUGACUCGUACGGUCGAAGAGCUCUUCAUUGAGCUUGGAAACGCUUUCGCAGCCAACAUCUGCACAAGUACAGUCGUUCGUGAUACCGUGAACAAAACAGCGUGCUCAAAGCAAGUGAUUCUGCUCGAAUGUUCAAGCAUGGAAUAUCAAGAAAUCGACCGUGAGUCUCGGAUUCUGUUAUGGUACUAAGCUCUACUUUACCGGUAUUAACAGGGAUGAACGGAGCAGUGUGUAUUGGCUCGCGAGAGGUGAAAUUCUUAGACCGUGCCAAGACAAACUUAAGCGAAGGCAUUCUGCAAGUAUAUCUUCACCAAUCAAGAACGAGAGUGCAGGGAUCGAAGAUGAUCAGAUACCGUCGUAGUCUGCUACUGUAAACGAUGCGAACUCGGGAUCAGCCGUCGCCAAUCUUUUCGAUUACCAGGCUGGAACCUACUUACUUCUCCUAGCGCGAAAGCUUUAAGUUUAUGCGUUAAGGGGGGAGUACAGCUGCAAGGUACUGAAACUUAAAGGAAUUGACGGAAUGCCACCACAAGGCGUGGAUGCUGCGGCUUAAUUUGACUCAACACGGGGAAUCUCACCAGGUCAGGACGCAUGUUGGAUUGACAGAUUGAAAGCUCUUUCUUGAUUAUGUGUAUGGUGGUGCAUGGCCGCUCCUGGUUGGUGGAGUGAUCUGUCUGGUUGAUUCCGUUAACGAACGCGAUCUUGGCCCUUCAAUGACAGUUUGAUCGAUUGUAAUUCAGUCAACGUGCUUGCAUGCUUGCACUGGAUGAGAUCUUGUCUUGUACUCAAGGGGACGAUGCAUGUUGACAAUGCAUGGAAGUGCGAGCCAAUAGCAGGUCUGUGAUGCCCAA
This 995-nucleotide ribosomal RNA is filed under the name uncultured eukaryote. RNAcentral describes it as "bacterial SSU rRNA". It matches the Rfam family "Eukaryotic small subunit ribosomal RNA", at positions 579 to 1474 of the family's 1831-position model. The record is from RNAcentral.